Capsicum annuum is the source of this 1353-nucleotide long non-coding RNA. RefSeq lists it as uncharacterized. The transcript is spliced from 3 exons. The record is from RefSeq and is a predicted model, not a curated record. Lineage: Eukaryota; Viridiplantae; Streptophyta; Magnoliopsida; Solanales; Solanaceae.
CAUCUUUUAGUCUUAGUAGAUGCCUGAUGCAGCUCAUAUAUUCUUUUAUGUUCAGGAAGAAGAGCUUGAACUUGGAUGCGAAGAUGGAAGACCAGAUCCUACUUAAGGUCGAAUGAGGGAAGUAGUUUUUGCAAAUAACGGACAGUGUGUUCUGCUUUUUAUGAAGAGAAGAUAUCUUGCAUUUAUCGGAAUCAUUACAACGUUUAAGCCUUUUUAUUUUGUGAGCUACUUGGAUUGAGAACGGAAGAUGCAAAUUGACGUUUUCUCAAAAUAAACUUGCAACUUCUUUAUAUUUUGUUCUUUUGCUUCCAUGAGGUUUAUUUAAAAAAAUAGCCUCUCUACCUGACAAGGGCAGUGGGGCAAACCAAAGAAGGGAAGAAUAGGACCACUAGAUGGAAAGAAGUUCUGGAUAUCAAACGACUUGGAUCCUAACGAUGAAGAUAAACUUGAGAUAACUAUCUCUAACUUCAUUUCAAGAACUCUGUGAUCUGUAUCGUUGUCUAUUAAGGAUGGUUUGGAAAGUAUUUUGGUACUUCGAUGGAAGUUUAUGAUGUUAAAACUGGUCUCUGUGUGUUACACAAAUGUAGGAGUUAUAGAGGAUAACUCGAGAUUUGUAGGCUGAUUCAGGAACCAGGGAAACUGAUACUAUUUCUUAAUAUGAUCCUUCAUUUUACAUGUUCUCUAUAUAUCAAUGAAAAUGGAAUACACUAAGAAUACAUUUGUAACUAACUUUUAACGGAAUUGAGAAUGAACAAUAAAAACUGUCUAACUAAUUGGCAGUUAUAACUAUUUUCCUGAACUAGUUGUUAACCUGGACUAAACUUCCUUUAAUCUCCAUUUCUAGCUAUGAGAUGUCUUUCAAUCGUUAUUUCGUGAAUCAGUGUGUCACAUUUUAGGGUGUUGUGCAUUGGGAUCCAUGUCAUGACUGGGAAAAGGCUUCCAGAUGCUAGCUUCGAUUGGUUUUGUAUAUUUUAUAAUUGAGAUGUGAUGAAAUUCAACAAAUUCUAUAGUCUUGCGGGAUUCAGAGAAACCAUCCAAUUAAAAAGAGGGGAUUUCAAUCGCCUUUUUCCUAGCAAAGCCAUAGCUCGCAAAAACAUGAAAUAAGCUGGCUAACUUCAGUAAAUACAUUUUGGAACUAAAAAUUUGCAAGCAAUAGACUUUAUAGCCGGGGUAAAAGUUCCUAACAUACAUGCACAAGCAAAUAUUAAAUAAAUAAAUAUGGCGAAACCAAACUCUCUAAAAAAACACCCCUUUCUCAAAAGGAUUCACGUUGAGGCCAUAAUUCAAACUUGCAAGCAAUAAAUAUAAUUGUUAGAACAAGAGGUCCAUACAUUAUGUCCGAAAAUAAACAUU